Molecule: long non-coding RNA, 417 nt
Organism: Drosophila yakuba
Lineage: Eukaryota; Metazoa; Arthropoda; Insecta; Diptera; Drosophilidae
Exons: 2
Source: RefSeq, a predicted model, not a curated record
UCUUUCAACCGUAUAUUAACAAAUAGUAUCUUAUCCUGAUACAGUUUUUAAAAGCAAUCACUGUAGUUUUAAGUGCAUGUUUCGCAAUUGGUAAAGUAAUCAUCAUGCCCAACCGAUUGGUAUAUAAGCAGGCACAGCGGCUCCCAGCGGAUUCAUAGCAACAAUUUUAUUUGGUGACGAUGGACUUUAAGUGCUGCCUGCUUUUCCUAUCGCUUUUGUUUGCCGGGGCUUUGUCUCGCCCAGAACCAGACUCGCCACGCCCAACUCUACCGCCCUGCACGCCCUGGUGCGCCGGGCAGCCUCCACCGCCUCCCGGAGCAGUGAACUAAUUUGUCUUGUCAUUCCGAUUGAAACAUCGAAAAACAACAUUCUAUAAUACCUCUUGCAAGUCGAUGAAAUAAAGCUACCAAUCUUAAA